Molecule: long non-coding RNA, 623 nt
Organism: Eucalyptus grandis
Lineage: Eukaryota; Viridiplantae; Streptophyta; Magnoliopsida; Myrtales; Myrtaceae
Exons: 8
Source: RefSeq, a predicted model, not a curated record
AAACGAAAAAAAAAAAGAAAAAAAAUCCAUCAUCUUCCUCCCUCCUCUGACGUCGCUCCGAUUCCAAUCUCUGCACAGCUCCUCGAACUCAGAUCUCAGUCUCCCUCUGCUCCACCAGCACUCGCGGAGAGAGGCAGAGAAGAUGGCGGCAUUCACGAAGCUCGAGGACUCGCCCAUGUUCCACAAGCAGAUCUUUUCUCUAGAACAGAUGGCGGAGGAGUUGAAAGAGCGCUGCCAGCAUUUAUACAGAGGCUCCACGAAAUUUGUGGCAUCUCUUGAGAAGCGUGUAAUGCAGACACAACAUUCGCAGAUUCCUUGGAAGCAUUUGGUGGUGGUCAGGAUGAUCCAGUUAGUGUAUCAAUAGGAGGUCCUGUCAUAUCCAAGUUCAUAUCAGCAUUUCACGAGCUUGCUUCUUACAAAGAGCUUUUGCGUUCUCAGGUGGAGCAUGUAUUGGUUGAUCGCUUGACGCACUUUAUAAAUGUGGAUAUGCAAGAGGCGAAGGAAUCACGACGACGCUUUGACAAAGCUGGAUACUCUUAUGAUCAGGCCCGUGAAAAGUUUGUAUCUUUGAAGAGGAGUACAAGAGGAGACAUUGUUGCUGAACUAGAAGAGCGAUGACAGGG